RNAcentral lists this unclassified non-coding RNA (404 nucleotides) under soil metagenome. RNAcentral describes it as "partial contains 5.8S ribosomal RNA, internal transcribed spacer 2, and large subunit ribosomal RNA". The stretch from base 1 to 121 matches the Rfam family "5.8S ribosomal RNA", at positions 35 to 154 of the family's 154-position model. The record is from RNAcentral.
GAUGAAGAACGUAGCGAAAUGCGAUAAGUAAUGUGAAUUGCAGAAUUCAGUGAAUCAUCGAAUCUUUGAACGCACCUUGCGCCCUUUGGCUAUUCCGAAGGGCAUGCCUGUUUGAGUAUCAUGAACACCUCAACUCUCAUGGUUUGCCAUGAUGAGCUUGGACUCUGGGGGUCUUGCUGGCUUAUGGUCAGCUCCUCUUAAAUGAAUCAGCUUUCCAGUGUUUGGUGGCAUCACAGGUGUGAUAACUAUCUACGCUUGUGGUGUCCUCCCAGGUAACCUUCAGCAAUGGAGGUUGCUGGAGCUAAUAAAUGCACAUCUCUCAUUGUUGAGAUGGCCUUUUAGAUGUUUGAUCUCAAAUCAGGUAGGACUACCCGCUGAACUUAAGCAUAUCAAUAAGCGGAGGA